UGCGUAGGGAGCAAGCGUUGUCCGGAAUCAUUGGGCGUAAAGCGCGCGUAGGUGGCCUCAUAAGUCCGCUGUGAAAGUCAAAGGCUCAACCUUUGAAAGCCGGUGGAUACUGUGGGGCUAGAGUACGGAAGAGGCGAGUGGAAUUCCUGGUGUAGCGGUGGAAUGCGCAGAUAUCAGGAGGAACACCAAUAGCGAAGGCAGCUCGCUGGGACGUUACUGACACUGAGGCGCGAAAGCGUGGGGAGCGAACAGG
RNAcentral lists this ribosomal RNA (253 nucleotides) under uncultured bacterium. RNAcentral describes it as "partial 16S ribosomal RNA". It matches the Rfam family "Bacterial small subunit ribosomal RNA", at positions 524 to 776 of the family's 1533-position model. The record is from RNAcentral.